AUGUGUGAGUGUGGGGCCUGAAAUUUUGCACACAUUUACAAUAAUUGUAAAUGUGUUGAAAAUCGUUUGCACAACUGUGA
This 80-nucleotide microRNA precursor is filed under the name Drosophila pseudoobscura. Its description in RNAcentral is "microRNA dps-mir-287 precursor". Its record names the gene dps-mir-287. It matches the Rfam family "mir-287 microRNA precursor family". The record is from miRBase by way of RNAcentral. RNAcentral also lists the same sequence under 1 other name. Lineage: Eukaryota; Metazoa; Arthropoda; Insecta; Diptera; Drosophilidae.